UCAUUACCGAAUUGUCAACACGAGUUGUUGCUGGUCCUCAAAUGGGGGCAUGUGCACACUCUGUUUGCACAUCCACUCACACCUGUGCACCCUCCAUAGUUCUGCAGCCUGGGGGCUCUGUCCCCCCUGCUGUGGCUCUAUGUAUUUACACACACACACUGUGAUAAAGUCUUAUGGAAUGUAUGCCGCGUUUAACGCAAUACAAUACAACUUUCAGCAACGGAUCUCUUGGCUCUCGCAUCGAUGAAGAACGCAGCGAAAUGCGAUAAGUAAUGUGAAUUGCAGAAUUCAGUGAAUCAUCGAAUCUUUGAACGCACCUUGCGCCCUUUGGCUAUUCCGAAGGGCAUGCCUGUUUGAGUAUCAUGAACACCUCAACUCUCAUGGCUUGCCAUGACGAGCUUGGACUUUGGGGGUCUUGCCGGCCUGCGGUCGGCUCCUCUCAAAUGAAUCAGCUUACCAGUGUUUGGUGGCAUCACAGGUGUGAUAACUAUCUACGCUUGUGGUUUUCCACCAGGUAACCUUCAGUGAUGGAGGGUUGCUGGGGCUCAUAAAUGUCUCUCCUCAGUGA
RNAcentral lists this ribosomal RNA (568 nucleotides) under uncultured fungus from ectomycorrhizal root. Its description in RNAcentral is "eukaryotic LSU rRNA". The stretch from base 209 to 363 matches the Rfam family "5.8S ribosomal RNA". Lineage: Eukaryota; Fungi. The record is from RNAcentral.